RNAcentral lists this long non-coding RNA (314 nucleotides) under Rattus norvegicus (Norway rat). RNAcentral describes it as "long non-coding RNA NONRATT019044". The record is from RNAcentral. Lineage: Eukaryota; Metazoa; Chordata; Mammalia; Rodentia; Muridae.
AGGGACAGAUGUCAGAAGAGCCACCUAUGUGACCAUGCCUUCUGUGAUCAUCAGAGCCUGGCCUAGCUGGGUCAAACCUAAGACCAGCACGGCUUCUGUUCUCAUCCCAGAGCUGUAUCCACGGAGCACAUGGCUUCCGACCUCGGUGGCUGUGUCUCCGGACGCAGAGAGCUCUUCUGUGCAGUGCAGACUCAGCCCCACAGCAUGAGACUCCCCGAAGACACCGACAGGAUCAAGAUUUGUGCUGCUGGAAUGAUUCGGGAGUCCCUCUGCUCUUCAUGGUCCACGGGGAAGAAUAAAAAGAUGUAACCACC